RNAcentral lists this long non-coding RNA (612 nucleotides) under Homo sapiens (human). RNAcentral's name for it is "novel transcript". The record is from RNAcentral. Lineage: Eukaryota; Metazoa; Chordata; Mammalia; Primates; Hominidae.
UUUUUUUUUUUUUUUUUUUGACUUAUGAACAUCCACUUGUACUGGGACUAUUUGUUGAAAAAGGUCUCUGGCUGCUUUUAAGGUUUACCUUUGUCUUCGGUAUUCUAGAAUAUUCCACUAUAAUGUGUCUAGAUAGGGAUUUCCUUUAUCUUUCUUGUUAUAUCCUGUGUCUGAUGGCUUAAUGUUUUUUAUUAUUCUGGAAACUUCUCUGCCAUUUUUUCUUCAAAUAGUCUCUCUCCACAUUCUAUCUAUUAUUUCCUUUUGUAAUCUUAGUCAGUUUUAUGUAAGGCUUUCUCCUCUUGUUCUUUGUAUCUUAACUCAUAUUAUCCAGAUAGUUUAUUCUGAAUAAUUGUUUCAGGUCUAUAUUCCAGGUCACCCACUCUUUUUCACAUAAGCCCAGUCUCUUAUUUAACCCAUCCACUGAAUUUUUAAUUUCAGUAAUUUUUUGUUUUUGGAGUUCUGUUUGAUUCUUUCUUGAAUUUUCCUGGUUAUUUUUGAUUUUCUGUUGUUCUUUGCUCAUUUAUUUCCACUCUGUUUUAUUUACAUAAUUAUAUUGUUUCUGAUAAUUCCAGUAUCUUAAUUUCUUAAGAAUUAAAAAAGUUUUCCUGCUGA